This 260-nucleotide long non-coding RNA is filed under the name Mytilus galloprovincialis (Mediterranean mussel). Lineage: Eukaryota; Metazoa; Mollusca; Bivalvia; Mytilida; Mytilidae. The record is from RNAcentral.
GGAGGGUGGGUAUUUUCAAAAUACUUCUCUCUGUAUUGUAAUUACACGUCUGUUCACUUGCAGCUCAAAGUUAAAAAGAAUGCUAACGUCAAAUUGACGUCACCACUAUACAUCUUAUCGACUACAUAUGAAUUUAUAAAGGAAAGCACUGCAACGGACGAGAUUAAAACUUUCCACUAGAAUAACCGAAUUUAUGUAUAUUACAUAAAUUCUAUUAUUCGAGAUGGCUUGUAAAACUAAGAUUUAUUGGCAGUAUUGAC